UAUUCAUUCCUGAAAUAAUCACCACAACCUACUGGUUAUAGUUGCGCAAAACAUCAACAUUACCCAUCCUUGGCCUCUAGAGAACAAUGAUUCCCCCAGCCAGGCCACAAGACUCAAUAGUGUAAAAACCCCAUGAUGCCGGAAAAUGCCACCGCACCCUCUCAAGGCCUCUACCUGCCAAUCGAGUCUCCAACAAAAUGCAUAAAUCAGGUUGAUACUGGUACAUCCACCUCCUAAACGUAGAGGAAGAUGAGGGCUUUCCAAUCUCUUGAAC
This 274-nucleotide long non-coding RNA is filed under the name Elaeis guineensis (African oil palm). RNAcentral's name for it is "long non-coding RNA (EGUI_LNC005304)". Lineage: Eukaryota; Viridiplantae; Streptophyta; Magnoliopsida; Arecales; Arecaceae. The record is from RNAcentral.